RNAcentral lists this ribosomal RNA (253 nucleotides) under uncultured bacterium. RNAcentral describes it as "partial 16S ribosomal RNA". It matches the Rfam family "Bacterial small subunit ribosomal RNA", at positions 524 to 776 of the family's 1533-position model. The record is from RNAcentral.
UACGUAGGGGGCAAGCGUUAUCCGGAUUUACUGGGUGUAAAGGGAGCGUAGACGGCUGUGCAAGUCUGAAGUGAAAGCCCAGGGCUCAACCCUGGGACUGCUUUGGAAACUGUGGAGCUAGAGUGCUGGAGAGGUAAGUGGAAUUCCUAGUGUAGCGGUGAAAUGCGUAGAUAUUAGGAAGAACACCAGUGGCGAAGGCGGCUUGCUGGACAGUAACUGACGUUGAGGCUCGAAAGCGUGGGGAGCAAACAGG